Molecule: unclassified non-coding RNA, 334 nt
Filed under: soil metagenome
Description: partial contains 5.8S ribosomal RNA, internal transcribed spacer 2, and large subunit ribosomal RNA
Rfam family: 5.8S ribosomal RNA (bases 1-120)
Source: RNAcentral
GAUGAAGAACGCAGCGAAAUGCGAUAAGUAAUGUGAAUUGCAGAAUUCAGUGAAUCAUCGAAUCUUUGAACGCACAUUGCGCCCAUUAGCAUUCUAGUGGGCAUGCCUGUUCGAGCGUCGUUUCAACCCUUAAGCCCUGUUGCUUAGCGUUGGGAGCCUACAGUACUGUAGCUCCCCAAAGUUAGUGGCGGAGUCGGUUUCACACUCUAGACGUAGUAAUUUUUUCUCGUCUGUAGUUGAGCCGGUCCCCUGCCGUAAAACACCCAAUUUAUCAAGGUUGACCUCGGAUCAGGUAGGAAUACCCGCUGAACUUAAGCAUAUAAUAAGCGGAGGA